Molecule: non-coding RNA, 382 nt
Organism: Chionomys nivalis (European snow vole)
Lineage: Eukaryota; Metazoa; Chordata; Mammalia; Rodentia; Cricetidae
Source: the annotation of a RefSeq genome assembly
CAUCAUGGACAUAAAAACCCCUGUUCAACUCCUUGUGUUCCUAUUUCUCUGCCUUUCAGGCACCCAAGGUGACAUUCAGAUGACCCAAUCUCCAUCCUUUCUGUUUGCAUCUCUGGGAGACAAAGUCACCAUCACUUGCAGGGCAAGUCAGGACAUUAACGGUUAUUUAAGCUGGUUCCAGCAGACACCUGGGAAAGCUCCUAAACGUCUGAUCUACUGGGCAUCCAACUUGGAUGCUGGCAUCCCAUCAAGGUUUAGUGGUAGUGGGUCUGGGACAGAUUAUACUUUCACCAUCAGCAGCCUGGAAUCUGAAGACUUUGGAACUUAUUACUGUUUACAGACUAAUAAUUAUCCUCCCACGGUGAUACAAGUCAUAACAUAA